GGGGUCGACUGGUUUUGACAGCAAGUCGAAUUGAAUUGUAAGCAUGUGGAGAACUGGAGUAAUUCUCGUAAAUAAAAGGCUCCAAAACACUUACACGGCGAAGGAAACUACGCUCUUGCUGCAUAAUCUGAAUCAUAGUAAGAUUAGCCACGUUCCUACAAGGUAGGAAAGCAGGAUUUACCUCGAAAGCUCUGGUUUAUAGCGUUCGAUAUAGGUGAAUCGUAAAUUUAAACCUAGAAAUAGUUAAGCUUCGGGACUAUUUUGAAACUAAGAAGAUAAGCUUUGUGUUGCUGUUCUUGGCAUACCACACGGUCGAAAAUUUAAUCGAGAAAUAAACAUGUAGAAAGCUCUUUAGUUGCUUGUUUGGACCCGAGUUCGAUUCUCGGCGACUCCACAA
Non-coding RNA from Flavobacterium psychrophilum JIP02/86, 397 nucleotides. It matches the Rfam family "transfer-messenger RNA". From Rfam's summary of the family: Bacterial tmRNA, also known as 10Sa RNA or SsrA, is named for its dual tRNA and mRNA-like properties. Its role is to liberate the mRNA from a stalled ribosome. The record is from Rfam. NCBI's taxonomy places the organism in Bacteria, Pseudomonadati, Bacteroidota, Flavobacteriia, Flavobacteriales, Flavobacteriaceae.